UCUCUGAACAUCUGUCUUGUAAACAGCACAAAUAGGUUGACAUAAAAUGCUCUAAAAGGGCAGCCUUAAAAGACUCCAGUCCUCUCCAGCCAUAUUUUAGAGGCACCAGAUGCCUGAGAAGCACAGAACUCCGACUGAUUUCCAGUACAGUGAGAUGCUUGGGAGUUUUCAAAUCCCAUUCAGCAUCUUUUGCAUCUCCAGGAGCACAAACACCAAAAUAAUCUGUUCCAGCGCCCUUUAAGACGGAGACUCAAUAUGGCAUUUCUCCUUGGGGCUGAUCAGCACAGCACAAUUACAGGGAUUGAAGAAAAGGGCUGGAAGUAAAAAAUCUGACGGAACAAGCUUCUGACUCACAACUUUACUGCUCUUCCUUCUCAUUUUGUUUUUUACUUUCUCAACAUGUCACAAAGUACAACCUGGAGAACUUUUAGGCUACAGCUCAGACAACAAAAAAACCCAGAAUGCUCCAUGCACAGGACCCAGCCCUGUGGAAUCCCUCAGGAAAUGAAGCUCCACCUGGUCAUUCUGCACUCGAGGAGAUGACAAACAUGCCAAUAGCAGGGAUCUGAACGUUCCUGGGAUUUCUCAAGGUCAGCUGUGCAGGGGAUGUCCCUCUUUCAUACUGCAACCCCCUGAAGUGACCAUUCCCCCUUCUGGCUUUGGGCUCAGAGCUGCCCUUUGCAAGCAGCAGGCUCAUAAACCCAAGUGGUUGUAGAGAACAAAUAAAUACGGAUGCAUUGCUGGAAAUGCGCAACAAGGAAUGCCGCUGGACUGUUCUCCGAGGGCUGCGGUCAGCACAGGAGAGGUUUUCCACCCACUCCUUCCUUUUGGAGCCAUCCUGUUUCUACAAUUUCAAAUUUAAUACUUUUUCUAAUAUAUUAUACGUUACCUCCCAUGUAUUUAAACUGUACUUAAAAGCAUGCUAAGAACUGGUAAUUCUUUAAUGGUUGUUCACUUACAAGCGAUUGUGGGUCAUUACACAAUCAUUUAAAGGGCAUUAAUGAGAACCAUUUAAUGGUUUUAGUAGAAUAUCAUUGUAAGGGACAGGGGAAAAGUUACUGGCUGUAAAUUUUUAUGACCAUUUCUUACAAAACGUAUUACUUUAAAGAUUUAUGUACGUAACAAUGAGUACAAUAAAA
Long non-coding RNA from Cyanistes caeruleus (blue tit), 1139 nucleotides. RefSeq lists it as uncharacterized. The record is from RefSeq and is a predicted model, not a curated record. Lineage: Eukaryota; Metazoa; Chordata; Aves; Passeriformes; Paridae.